UACGAAGGGGGCUAGCGUUGUUCGGAAUACCUGGGCGUAAAGCGCAUGUAGGCGGAUUUUUAAGUCAGAGGUGAAAUCCCAGGGCUCAACCCCGGCAUUGCCUUUGAUACUGGAGAUCUGGAGUCUGGGAGAGGUGAGUGUAAUUCCGAGUGUAGAGGUGAAAUUCGUAGAUAUUCGGAGGAACACCAGUGGCGAAGGCGGCUCACUGGCCCGAGACUGACGCUGAUAUGCGAAAGCGUGGGGAGCAAACAGG
This 253-nucleotide ribosomal RNA is filed under the name uncultured bacterium. RNAcentral's name for it is "partial 16S ribosomal RNA". It matches the Rfam family "Bacterial small subunit ribosomal RNA", at positions 524 to 776 of the family's 1533-position model. The record is from RNAcentral.